RNAcentral lists this transfer RNA (71 nucleotides) under Novacerus sp. FZ-2019. Its description in RNAcentral is "tRNA-Val". The record is from RNAcentral. Lineage: Eukaryota; Metazoa; Arthropoda; Collembola; Entomobryomorpha; Tomoceridae.
UAAAAUAGAGCUUGAAAUUAAGUUAUUCACUUACAUUGAAUAGAUUCUUUAAAUAUUUAAAGAUAUUUUAA